GUCUUCGUGGUGUAGCGGUAACACUCCUGUCUUUCCAAACAGGCUUCGCCGGUUCGAUCCCGGCCGGAGACU
This 72-nucleotide transfer RNA is filed under the name Kitasatospora griseola. It matches the Rfam family "tRNA". Rfam says of the family: Transfer RNA (tRNA) molecules are approximately 80 nucleotides in length. Their secondary structure includes four short double-helical elements and three loops (D, anti-codon, and T loops). The record is from Rfam by way of RNAcentral. Lineage: Bacteria; Bacillati; Actinomycetota; Actinomycetes; Kitasatosporales; Streptomycetaceae.